UUGAUCCCUGGCUCAGGACGAACGCUGGCGGCGUGCCUAAUACAUGCAAGUCGAGCGAAUCGACGGGAGCUUGCUCCCUGAGAUUAGCGGCGGACGGGUGAGUAACACGUGGGCAACCUGCCUAUAAGACUGGGAUAACUUCGGGAAACCGGAGCUAAUACCGGAUACGUUCUUUUCUCGCAUGAGAGAAGAUGGAAAGACGGUUUACGCUGUCACUUAUAGAUGGGCCCGCGGCGCAUUAGCUAGUUGGUGAGGUAAUGGCUCACCAAGGCGACGAUGCGUAGCCGACCUGAGAGGGUGAUCGGCCACACUGGGACUGAGACACGGCCCAGACUCCUACGGGAGGCAGCAGUAGGGAAUCUUCCGCAAUGGACGAAAGUCUGACGGAGCAACGCCGCGUGAACGAAGAAGGCCUUCGGGUCGUAAAGUUCUGUUGUUAGGGAAGAACAAGUACCAGAGUAACUGCUGGUACCUUGACGGUACCUAACCAGAAAGCCACGGCUAA
This 505-nucleotide ribosomal RNA is filed under the name Bacillaceae bacterium CL1.67. RNAcentral describes it as "bacterial SSU rRNA". It matches the Rfam family "Bacterial small subunit ribosomal RNA", at positions 13 to 500 of the family's 1533-position model. The record is from RNAcentral. Lineage: Bacteria; Bacillati; Bacillota; Bacilli; Caryophanales; Bacillaceae.